AUUGAACGCUGGCGGCAGGCCUAACACAUGCAAGUCGAGCGAGCGGCGGACGGGUGAGUAAUGUCUGGGAAACUGCCUGAUGGAGGGGGAUAUCUACUGGAAACGGUAGCUAAUACCGCAUACCAUCAGAUGUGCCCAGAUGGGAUUAGCUAGUAGGGGUGGUAACGGCCAACCUAGGCGACGAUCCCUCGCUGGUUUGAGAGGAUGACCAGCCACACUGGAACUGAGACACGGUCCAGACUCCUACGGGAGGCAGCAGUGGGGAAUAUUGCACAAUGGGCGCAAGCCUGAUGCAGCCAUGCCGCGUGUGUGAAGAAGGCCUUCGGGUUGUAAAGCACUUUCAGCGGGGAGGCGUUACCCGCAGAAGAAGCACCGGCUAACUCCGUGCCAGCAGCCGCGGUAAUUC
RNAcentral lists this ribosomal RNA (406 nucleotides) under uncultured bacterium. RNAcentral describes it as "partial 16S ribosomal RNA". It matches the Rfam family "Bacterial small subunit ribosomal RNA", at positions 30 to 526 of the family's 1533-position model. The record is from RNAcentral.